RNAcentral lists this ribosomal RNA (450 nucleotides) under uncultured bacterium. Its description in RNAcentral is "partial 16S ribosomal RNA". It matches the Rfam family "Bacterial small subunit ribosomal RNA", at positions 338 to 795 of the family's 1533-position model. The record is from RNAcentral.
CCUACGGGCGGCUGCAGUGGGGAAUUUUGGACAAUGGGCGCAAGCCUGAUCCAGCCAUUCCGCGUGAGUGAAGAAGGCCUUCGGGUUGUAAAGCUCUUUCGCAAGGGAAGAAAACUUACCUUCUAAUAAAGGGUGAGGCUGACGGUACCUUGAUAAGAAGCACCGGCUAACUACGUGCCAGCAGCCGCGGUAAUACGUAGGGUGCGAGCGUUAAUCGGAAUUACUGGAGGUAGAUUGUGAACUCACGGGUGAAAUCCCCGAGCUCAACUUGGGAACUGCGUUUGAAACUGCCAGACUAGAAUAUGUCAGAGGGGGGUAGAAUUCCACGUGUAGCAGUGAAAUGCGUAGAGAUGUGGAGGAAUACCAAUGGCGAAGGCAGCCCCCUGGGAUAAUAUUGACGCUCAUGCACGAAAGCGUGGGGAGCAAACAGGAUUAGAUACCCGUGUAGUC